This 443-nucleotide ribosomal RNA is filed under the name uncultured bacterium. RNAcentral describes it as "partial 16S ribosomal RNA". It matches the Rfam family "Bacterial small subunit ribosomal RNA", at positions 338 to 795 of the family's 1533-position model. The record is from RNAcentral.
CCUACGGGAGGCAGCAGUGGGGAAUAUUGCACAAUGGGCGAAAGCCUGAUGCAGCCACGCCGCGUGAUGGACGAAGGGUUUCGGCUCGUAAACUUCUAUCAACCGGGACGAAAGAAAUGCCGGUACCUGAAUAAGAAGCCACGGCUAACUACGUGCUCGCCGCCGCGGUUAUACGUAGGGGGCAAGCGUUAUCCGGAAUUACUGGGUGUAAGGGGUGAGUAGGCGGCAUGGUAAGCCAGCUGUGAAAGCCUUGGGCUUAACACGAGGAUUGCAUUUGGAACUAUCAAGCUAGAGUACAGGGGAUGAAAGCGGAAUUCCUAGUGUAGCGGUGAAAUGCGUAGAUAUUAGGAAGAACACCAGUGGCGAAGGCGGCUUUCGGGACUGAAACUGACGCUGAGGCACGAAAGCGUGGGGAGCGAACAGGAUUAGAUACCCGUGUAGUC